AUGGAAACCACAGUAGCAGAUCCAAUACCUCAUGGCAAUGAAACUGUCCAGACUAAGUCAAAGUUGCAAGAAGAUGUUUAUGAGGAACCUACUCUAAUUGAUGCUAAGUUGAGACAACAAGAUAUGGAGAAAUUCACUUGUGUUAGUCAACUAUGUGACUGGUGGAAUUUAGUCGUGGCACCAAUUUCCCACACUUGUGUUACAACUGUAUCUGGGAUAUUUGUCAAGAAGAAAUCAUUAGCUCCACCGGUGGUUGCCUCUAUCUCAGUUAAAGAGAGUAUCUCAGAGAAGAAUAGUGAAGAUGAGAUUCCAACUCCUGCACAUACAUCUAAGCAAGUCGGAGACAUUCCAAGGAGAGAGAUACAAGAGGUUGAGUCAAAUUUGGAAGAGUUGAUACUUCAAUAUCCUGAGAAGAUCCCACGUGUUGCUGAGCUGCAUGACUGGUGGAAGUCAUCAGUGUCAUUGUUGAAACUUAGCAGUGAUGGUGAUGAGGAGAAUAUUGCUCAGAAAGACAGCGAGGUAGUGAUCUCAGCACCCCUACCAGAUCAUGUUAGUGCAUAUUCACAGAUGGGGACACUUCAGACUCAAUUAGGUGUUGCUGGUAGUAGCACCAUAGAAGAUCCAGAGGAAGAGAGAUCUCAACUUGAAGAAGAAAUACUCGAAGACGAGGAACAAGAUGAUCCAGAGCUCGAACAACCAAGUGAUCAAGUUGAAGAUUCAUCAUCUACUACUCUUGAAGAAGCAAAAGAAGUUGCUGUAGAUGAACUUGAAGAACCAGAAAUUCAUUUGCCUAUUGUCAUACAAGAGCGUGAUGUAGCAGGUUUAUCUAAUCCUCUUGAUGGCAUGCGUCCCUAUGACUUAUUUGCUUCUACCUUGCAUUACAUGAUACCAUCAAUUAAGGUAGAUUUGAGAAAGUAUUUGCUUGGAUAUGAUGAUAUAUACCAUGUUCAUGGCAUUGCUCACAUUUGUUACGAUUACACUUAUUUUCCUCAUGCUAGACCCAUGCUUAAUGAAACAUGUCAUUCUCAUGUUAGUAUGGAGCUUAAUGAUUCAUAUCAUCUUCAUGCUAGCAUUGAGCUUACUGAUUUCCACCAUUCUAAACAUGUGCUUUAUAGCUAUGCUUAUGUAAUUGGGUACUCUAUUGAUGAUUUAGAGGGCAUCUACCCUAUCACUUGUAGUUGUUGUUUGUGUGAGUCCUAUUUAAGGUUUUUGCUUGUGCAACAAAUCAAUACAUGCUGA
Molecule: ribosomal RNA, 1239 nt
Filed under: Triticum aestivum (bread wheat)
Lineage: Eukaryota; Viridiplantae; Streptophyta; Magnoliopsida; Poales; Poaceae
Description: partial small subunit ribosomal RNA
Source: RNAcentral